UGGGUAUAGAAACAUUGCAUGAUACUUCAUUGGUAUGUGUGACUUUUGUGUUUCCAUUUACCCUUUUAAAGGGAAAUUUAAUGUCUAAGAUCCAGAAACCAUUUUGGUCUCUAAGGCCUGUUAAUUGCUAUUUCCCUAAGAAGACAGGAUGAAGAUCUUCAGAUACACACUGGGGCAACUCUCCAGAGUUCUCUGGUUGUUUAUAUUUCUCUCUACAUCUCCAUUCACUAGCCUCUGAAAUACCAAUGUGGCACACCAGGGGACACACUGAAUGCCAUUAUCCAUUAGAUUUUAUUUAUUUUCUGAGUGGCAGUAAUUGUUAACACAUGCGGAUCUUUUAUGUAACUUGAUGAUCAGCUAUGGGCCUUCAAGCAAGUAUACAGAUAUAACCUAUGAACUAUGGGAGGGGAGUGAUGUUGUCUGGUUUUCCUGUACUAUGUUUUCCUAACAAGGAGGUCAGUUCCACUGUUUCUGAAGGUCUCUCCAUCCCCGUCUUGGAUCCUUUGCUCAGCCCUCCAUAAAACUGGGGAAACAGCAUUGGACAAGACCAAACCCUUUGAAUAUGGGUACCAGGUAAGAGUCCAAGACAGUCUAUGGGUCCUCUAACAGCGGAGCCAGUCUUUCUCCAUAGAGCACAAAUGGACUUUGGGAGCCCAUUCCCUAUAGAGGGAUACUAUUGCAGCCCAGAUACAGCAAGGAAUGUCUAGAUCCUCCCCCAGAC
RNAcentral lists this long non-coding RNA (721 nucleotides) under Cricetulus griseus (Chinese hamster). Its description in RNAcentral is "lncRNA (ENSCGRG00015031324.1)". Lineage: Eukaryota; Metazoa; Chordata; Mammalia; Rodentia; Cricetidae. The record is from RNAcentral.